CUGCGGAAGGAUCAUUAUCAUGUAAUAUACCCAGUCAUGCUGCUGCGUGAGCUGUAUAAACCCACCCUGUGUACUCCGUCCUGUUGCUUCCGCCGUGCGCCUGAAGGCGCCCGGCGGAAGUUCAGUAAUAAACCCCGUGUUUUACUACGUAAUCCGUCUGAAUGAAUAGGAACGAUGAAAUGUUAAAACUUUCAGCAACGGAUCUCUUGGUUCUCGCAUCGAUGAAGAACGCAGCGAAAUGCGAUAAGUAGUGUGAAUUGCAGAAUCUAGUGAAUCAUCGAAUCUUUGAACGCACAUUGCGCCUUCUGGUAUUCCGGGAGGCAUGCCUGUUCGAGAGUCAUUGACAACCGUUUCGAAGCCCCCCUUUCUCCACGUCCUCGAGGGGUCCGGGGGGUAUUCGUUUGUUGGUCGCGGAGGGAUGAGUUGCCUUGGCCUGCCCGCUAUGCCUGGCAAAUCUCCUCCCCACUGAAAUUCGGCGACGGGCUUUCUUUUUAUAGGUGGUGGGAUUGAAGGCGAUAUAGAUGCUCCCCGGCCCCCCGGGUAGAUUGUGCCAAUCCCCUCAACUUCCGAGGUUCAGCGGCGGUCCUGUGUUAAUUGACCCACAUCGGGACGGAUGACGUCUUGGUUCACGGCGAUGCGCGGAGGGUCUCCCCCAUCCUGGAGCCCCCGUGUACCCGUAACGAUUGGGUUAGCCGACAUGUUGCUUAUAGCUUUACUUCUGGCUUGUAGCAAUUCGGGACCACAGGACACUGGCCAGAGCUGAGCAGGAAGAACCUUGCGCCCCUGCCAUUUUAUUUUUUAAAUCAAAGGUUGACCUGGGAUCAGGUAGGGAUACCCGCUGAACUUAAGCAUAUCAAUAAGC
This 862-nucleotide ribosomal RNA is filed under the name Genea fragrans. RNAcentral's name for it is "eukaryotic LSU rRNA". The stretch from base 187 to 340 matches the Rfam family "5.8S ribosomal RNA". The record is from RNAcentral. Lineage: Eukaryota; Fungi; Ascomycota; Pezizomycetes; Pezizales; Pyronemataceae.